UACGCAGGGGGCUAGCGUUGCUCGGAAUCACUGGGCGUAAAGCGCACGUAGGCGGCUUUUUAAGUCAGGGGUGAAAUCCUGGAGCUCAACUCCAGAACUGCCUUUGAUACUGAGAAGCUUGAGUCCGGGAGAGGUGAGUGGAACUGCGAGUGUAGAGGUGAAAUUCGUAGAUAUUCGCAAGAACACCAGUGGCGAAGGCGGCUUACUGGUCCGGUUCUGACGCUGAGGCGCGAAAGCGUGGGGAGCAAACAGG
This 253-nucleotide ribosomal RNA is filed under the name uncultured bacterium. RNAcentral's name for it is "partial 16S ribosomal RNA". It matches the Rfam family "Bacterial small subunit ribosomal RNA", at positions 524 to 776 of the family's 1533-position model. The record is from RNAcentral.